UGGGGAAUAUUGCACAAUGGGCGAAAGCCUGAUGCAGCAACGCCGCGUGAGUGAUGAAGGCCUUCGGGUUGUAAAGCUCUGUCUUCUGGGACGAUAAUGACGGUACCAGAGGAGGAAGCCACGGCUAACUACGUGCCAGCGGCCGCGGUAAUACGUAGGUGGCAAGCGUUGUCCGGAUUUACUGGGCGUAAAGGAUGCGUAGGCGGAUACUUAAGUCAGAUGUGAAAAUCCCGGGCUUAACUUGGGAACUGCAUUUGAAACUGGGUAUCUAGAGUGCGGGAGAGGAAAGUGGAAUUCCUAGUGUAGCGGUGAAAUGCGUAGAGAUUAGGAAGAACACCUGUGGCGAAGGCGACUUUCUGGACCGUAACUGACGCUGAGGCAUGAAAGCGUGGGGAGCAAACA
Molecule: ribosomal RNA, 402 nt
Filed under: uncultured bacterium
Lineage: Bacteria
Description: bacterial SSU rRNA
Rfam family: Bacterial small subunit ribosomal RNA
Source: RNAcentral